This 904-nucleotide ribosomal RNA is filed under the name Ptycholaimellus sp. M1. RNAcentral describes it as "SSU rRNA". It matches the Rfam family "Eukaryotic small subunit ribosomal RNA", at positions 84 to 995 of the family's 1831-position model. Lineage: Eukaryota; Metazoa; Nematoda; Chromadorea; Chromadorida; Chromadoridae. The record is from RNAcentral.
AAACUGCGUAUGGCUCGUUACAACAGCCUUAGUUUAUUGGAUCUUAAAGUCCUACAUGGAUAACUGUGGUAAUUCUAGAGCUAAUACACGCAAUUAAACCCUAACCUUACGGGCAGGGUGCAUUUAUUAGAACAAAACCAAUCGGCUUCGGUCGUCAUUGGUGAAUCUGAAUAACUACGCUGAUCGCAUGGUCUCGCACCGGCGACAUAUCCUUCAAGUGUCUGCCUUAUCAACUGUCGAUGGUAGUUUAUAUGACUACCAUGGUUGUAACGGGUAACGGAGAAUAAGGGUUCGACUCCGGAGAGGGAGCCUGAGAAACGGCUACCACAUCCAAGGAAGGCAGCAGGCGCGCAAAUUACCCACUCUCAGAACGAGGAGGUAGUGACGAAAAAUAACGAGACAGUUCUCUAUGAGGUCUGUCAUCGGAAUGGGUACAAUUUAAACCCUUUAACGAGGAUCUAUUGGAGGGCAAGUCUGGUGCCAGCAGCCGCGGUAAUUCCAGCUCCAAUAGCGUAUAUUAAAGUUGUUGCGGUUAAAAAGCUCGUAGUUGGAUCUGCGAUCGCAGUCACAGGUUCCCCUUGUGGGAUACUUGCUGUCUCGAUCUACCUUGUUAGAUUUCUCUUAGUGCUCUUCACUGAGUGCUUUGAGUGUCUAGCUCGUUUACUUUGAAAAAAUUAGAGUGCUUAAAGCAGGCAUAUGCCUGAAUAGUGGUGCAUGGAAUAAUGGAAUAGGACCUCGGUUCUAUUUUGUUGGUUUUCGGAGCGCGAGGUUUUGAUUAAGAGGGACAGACGGGGGCAUUCUGUACUGCUACGCUAGAGGUGAAAUUCUUGGACCCGUAGCAUGACGAACAACUGCGAAAGCAUUUGCCAAGAAUGUUUUCAUUAAUCAAGAACGAAAGUUAGAG